Long non-coding RNA from Capra hircus (goat), 2520 nucleotides. RefSeq lists it as uncharacterized. NCBI's taxonomy places the organism in Eukaryota, Metazoa, Chordata, Mammalia, Artiodactyla, Bovidae. The record is from RefSeq and is a predicted model, not a curated record. The transcript has 3 exons.
CACACCAGACGACUGUGUACGAAGUGCGCCUGGCCCCUCCUCCCAAGGGUGAAGAGUUUAGAGGCCUACGCUCCCCCCACAUCCGCACCGGCUCCUCUCCCAGUUCUAGGAGCUUAGAACCGCGACUUCCGGCCUGGACGGAAAUGCGUCUCGCUCCCGCCGUACUACAACUCCCAGGAGCCUCCAAGUCGAGGGACUUCCGGCGCCGCCAUACUGAGGCUUUGGGGUCCUCUGAGGCCUUUGGCAGGAUUGCGGCUCACUCGCCUGUCACCUCCUCCUCUCGCUUUCCCUUUCCCGGCCUCCCUGGCAACCCUUCAGGUGGACACUGGUUACGCAGUUAUCAUAAACACCUACUGGAUGCUGUGCAGUACCUGAAAUGGCCGUGGCUCUGGACAUCUUGCUACAUCACCUUCUAAACGUGUCUCCCCUCACUGGCCUGCUGAGGCUGCUAACUGGGUCUCACGCAUUGGAAACUCCUAAGCCAAGCCCGGAGGAGGAUGUGCCAAAGCUGUUGAUGAUUACACAGUGAGUAACAGCAGCUACCAUUUCAUGAAGCCCUCCAAGGACCUGCCUGGGCUUUUAAAACACCACAGCCCCAUUAAGCAAGUGACCAACUUUUACACAGAUCCACGCUGGGAGAGGCUAAGAAUCUGCAGAAGGGAGCACCUGGGAACCAAACCCUGUUCUUUUAUGCCUUUUAUACCACUUCACAUAGCUACAAUCUUUUCCUUGAAUGUGCCCAAGAGUGUCUCAUCCAGAAGUCACUGCACUUGCUGCCUGCCUGCCCGGUGAUGUCUUUCCUAACAUCUCUGCUUCUCCUUCCCCAUCCAGCUCUCAGGUCAGAUGUCAUCUCGGAGCUAUCUUCCCACCCAGUUCUAAACUAAUAUUGCCCACCCGUGCUUCUCCACUCCUGUAUCUUCCCCAUAUAUAGACUCUACUGUUUCAUUUUUCUUCAUACCAUUGAUUGCCAUCUUUAAGUAUCUGGCUCAUUAAUUUCUCUCUCCAGCCUGUCUAGAAUAGCACUGCUCAGUGGAACAUUCUUUGGAGAAGGGAAUAUUCCAGAUCUGCACUGUCCAACAUAGUAGCCAUUAGCUGCAAGUGACCAGUGAACAUUUGAAAGGCCAGCACAAUUGAGGAACUGAACUGGUAAGUUUGUUUUAGUAGGUUUACAUUUACUCAUCAACACAGGCUAGUAGCUUCUCUGGAAUGAGUGUAAGCCCAGUGAGAGGGGGCCUUUCCACCCUGUUUAUCAUGGUGACCCUUCCCUAUAACAGCACUUGGCAUUUUGGCAGGUGUUCAGGCAGUAUUUGUUGAUACAGCACAGCUUCUAAGUGCUUUGAUGAACAGUGCACCAAGACAUUUGGGCCUUUCAAAGGCUUAUGCUUGUCCAUAUUUCAGAUUUCAGGAAAUCUCAUUGGCACUGAAAUUGUGUCCAUCUGUAAGUUAUGGGAAGAUAGCUGCUGCUGCAAUGUUCCCAUCUUUCACUUGGAAGCCUAAGCAUGUCAUGGGGUAAGAGGACCCUGGUUUAAACCCCCACCUGCUUCUUCCCAGACAGCCCAGGUCAGGGACUUGCCUUCAUGCUCCCACAGCAUGAAUGGGGACGUGGAGUUUCUCUGGGGCUGCUAGCUGGAAUAAUUAUAGGACUUAAGAAAGCGACUUCAUGCACUUCUAGCCUUUUAACCCCUCAAAAGAAGUCAGUGUUUUUACAUACUUAAGUCUUACAUGGCCCUCUAACAUAACCUUCUCCAAAUAGAGCCUGCUCAUUCCUUACCAAUUUAUUCUUAGGUUCCAUUUCAAAAAAGUAUCAAUAACAAAGUCUUUCCUCUCUGUUGAAGUGGUUAUUCCUGCUUUAAGCCACAGGUAUUAAGUUUCUGUAUUUUAUACUCUGUUGCAGCUGCUCAACUCUUAUAACUAUUUCAGAGGAUAAGUUUUUUUUUUAAACACAUUAUCUAAAAAUAGAUAAAACAGGUGUUCGUUAUUACAAGCUACAGAUAUUUUCUCCUUUUCAAUAUUUUCCUCAUUUUGUGCUUUAGUGAGAACAGUGCUGUGUACAGGUUGCAGAAAGGACCCGUUUAACAAAGCACUUAGUGUUCUGUCAUUGAGUAGCUUAUGUUCUUUGGAAACCUAUCUUUUAAUAGGAAGCUAGAAAAUAUUUACUGCCUGGGUUAAUACAGAGAUGCAACUAUUUAUCUACUUUGUUCUUAAGAAAAAGUUGGUUUUAACAUUUCUCUUGGGCCAACUUUACACUUUUCCAGAAAUCUUUCCAUCUUAUUGUUUGUUCAUUCCUGUACUUAACAAAUACUUACUGAGCACCUAUGCUGUGUCAGGAGCUGGUGACGCAGCAGGAAGAUGACAGUCUUCCAUUUUAUGAGCAUAGUUACUUGCAGGACCUCUGAGAGUGGAAGGUCACCCUCCCACCCAAUUUCCUUCUCUGGACACAAUCACAUCCUAUAGUUUCUCUAUUCUCCCAAUGGUAACAAUUGGCAUAUUAAUACCUGGUGUAUGUUUGCAAGUAUAUUU